AGCGAACGCUGGCGGCAUGCCUAACACAUGCAAGUCGAACGAACCUUCCGGGGUUAGUGGCGGACGGGUGAGUAACACGUGGGAACGUGCCCUUAGGUUCGGAAUAACUCAGGGAAACGUGUGCUAAUACCGAACGUGCCCUUCGGGGGAAAGAUUAAUCGCCUUUAGAGCGGCCCGCGUCUGAUUAGCUAGUUGGUUGAGGUAAUGGCUCACCAAGGCGACGAUCAGUAGCUGGUCUGAGAGGAUGAUCAGCCACAUUGGGACUGAGACACGGCCCAAACUCCUACGGGAGGCAGCAGUGGGUAAUCUUGCGCAAUGGGCGAAAGCAUGACGCAGCCAUGCCGGGUGAAUGAUGAAGGUCUUAGGAUUGUAAAAUUCUUUCACCGGGGACGAUAAUGACGGUACCCGGAGAAGAAGCCCCGGCUAACUUCGUG
Molecule: ribosomal RNA, 434 nt
Filed under: uncultured bacterium
Lineage: Bacteria
Description: partial 16S ribosomal RNA
Rfam family: Bacterial small subunit ribosomal RNA
Source: RNAcentral